RNAcentral lists this long non-coding RNA (1365 nucleotides) under Homo sapiens (human). RNAcentral's name for it is "non-protein coding RPARP-AS1:13". Lineage: Eukaryota; Metazoa; Chordata; Mammalia; Primates; Hominidae. The record is from RNAcentral.
GGAAAGUUGGGGCUUACUGCAGGGCAAGCUCCUUAGGAGAAGGUGGGGAGGAGGAAGGAGGGAGGUCCAGGCCCUUCUUCCAUCCCACGUCCUCCACUUCCCAAGGUGCAAGAAGAAAAGAGGUACAGAACACCCAGAGGUGCCCUCGAUUCCGUCUUGCACUUGCCCUUCUCCCACCGUCCAGCAAUAAAGCGAGAGAAACAAGUGCAGGAAACUGGCCGGCAGUCAUGGGAGAAGCCAAAAAGACAGCCUUGGGGAGCCGGCGGGAUCCAGAGCGGGGCUCCUCUCCGCACUUUGUAGCUGCGUUGCUCCGCUCCAUGCCCUGCCUCAGCCACUCCUCCUGGUUACCAGGCAAAAGGAAACACCUUGAGCUGGCCAGGAGCUACCAGCGUCUGUCUACACCUGGGAGUUCAGUGGCAUGACCAGGGCUCACUGCAACCUUGAUCUGGGCUCAAGUGAUCCUCCUACCUCAGCUUCCUGAGUAGCUAGGACCACAGGUGUGCACCAACCACACCCGACUAAUUUUUGUAGAGAUGAGAUCCCACUAUGUUACCCAGGCUGGUCUUGAACUCCUGGGCUCAGGUGAUCAUCCUGCCUUGGCUUCCCAAAGUACUGGGAUUAUAGGCUUGAGCCACCGUGCCUGGCCUGUGAUCAGAAUUCUCAUUUUUUUAGUCACUAAAAAUGCUGGGGGGCACUCCAUUCUCCAUUAUGUGAUUAGUUCACAUUGCAUGCUUGUAUCAAAACAUCAUAUAUACCCCACAAAUAUAUACAAAAAACUUUAAAAUUUUAAGUAUUAAUUGCUCAGGAAAAAAUUAAAAUGCUGGGGUGCUGAAAUCUCAAGGGCCCCAUUACAAAACUCCUUAGGAACCUCGCCCUCUCUCUGCUGUAAGGACUGGUUCCAGAAUGAGAGAAUUUAAAAGACAUUCCCCCCCCAAAAUGUUCAUAAUGUCACCCCGGAAACCUGCGAAUAUGUUAUAUUACAUGACCAGGGAGAAGUAAGGUUGCAGAUGGCAGUAAGGUUGCUAAUGGGCUGACCUUAAGAUAAGGAGAUGAUCCUGGAUUAUCUGGGUGGACCCAAUGUAAUCACAAGGGUCCUUAACUGUGGAAUAGUGAGGUGGCUGAGUCAGAGGCAGAGUGAUGCAAUGACUGAAAGACUUAACCAGCCAUCACCGGCUUUGAAUACGGAAGACGGUCAUGAGCCAGGGAAUGCAGGCAGGCUCUGGGAGCUGAAAAAAGCAAGAAAAUGGAUUCUCCCCUGGAGCCUCCAGAAGGGAUGCGGUCCUGCCAACCCCUUGUCAGUGAGCCAUUUCAGAUUUCUGACUUCCAGGACUGUAAGAAAAUAAACUUGUCUUGUUUUCAGCCACC